Molecule: unclassified non-coding RNA, 165 nt
Filed under: uncultured Fusicolla
Lineage: Eukaryota; Fungi; Ascomycota; Sordariomycetes; Hypocreales; Nectriaceae
Description: sequence contains ITS2
Source: RNAcentral
CAACCCUCAAGCCCCCGGGCUUGGUGUUGGGGCUCGGCCCGUCCCUAGCGGAUGCGCCGUCCCCGAAAUCUAGUGGCGGUCUCGCUGUAGCCUCCUCUGCGUAGUAGCUAACACCCCGCAACGGGAACGCAGCGCGGCCACGCCGUUAAACCCCCCACUUCUGAA